AGCAGUCGCCGCGGUAAUACGUAGGUGGCAAGCGUUGUCCGGAAUUAUUGGGCGUAAAGGGCUCGCAGGCGGUUUCUUAAGUCUGAUGUGAAAGCCCCCGGCUCAACCGGGGAGGGUCAUUGGAAACUGGGAAACUUGAGUGCAGAAGAGGAGAGUGGAAUUCCACGUGUAGCGGUGAAAUGCGUAGAGAUGUGGAGGAACACCAGUGGCGAAGGCGACUCUCUGGUCUGUAACUGACGCUGAGGAGCGAAAGCGUGGGGAGCGAACAGGAUUAGAUACCCCGGUAGUCCCUGUCUCUUAUAA
RNAcentral lists this ribosomal RNA (303 nucleotides) under uncultured bacterium. RNAcentral describes it as "partial 16S ribosomal RNA". It matches the Rfam family "Bacterial small subunit ribosomal RNA", at positions 507 to 809 of the family's 1533-position model. The record is from RNAcentral.